AACGAACGCUGGCGGCAUGCCUAACACAUGCAAGUCGAACGAGACCUUCGGGCCUAGUGGCGCACGGGUGCGUAACGCGUGGGAACCUGCCCUUAGGUUCGGACUAACUCCCCGAAAUGGGUGCUAAUACCGGAUAAUGUCUUCGGACCAAAGAUUUAUCGCCUUUGGUUGGGCCCGCGUUGUAUUAGCUAGUUGGUAGGGUAAAAGCCUACCACGGCGAGGAUCCAUAGCUGGUUUGAGAGGCUGAUCAGCCACACUGGGACUGAGACACGGCCCAGACUCCUACGGGAGGAAGGAGAGGGGGAUAUUGGAGAGUGGGCUAAAGGCUGAGCCAGCACGGCCGGGAGAGUGAUGAAGGCCUUGGGGUUGUAAAGCGCUUUUACCCGGGAUGAUAAUGACGGUACCGGGAGAAUAAGCUCCGGCUAACUCCGUG
Molecule: ribosomal RNA, 433 nt
Filed under: uncultured bacterium
Lineage: Bacteria
Description: partial 16S ribosomal RNA
Rfam family: Bacterial small subunit ribosomal RNA
Source: RNAcentral